This 158-nucleotide ribosomal RNA is filed under the name Achromobacter xylosoxidans. Its description in RNAcentral is "partial 16S ribosomal RNA". It matches the Rfam family "Bacterial small subunit ribosomal RNA", at positions 334 to 485 of the family's 1533-position model. The record is from RNAcentral. Lineage: Bacteria; Pseudomonadati; Pseudomonadota; Betaproteobacteria; Burkholderiales; Alcaligenaceae.
AACUCCUACGGGAGGCAGCAGUGGGGAAUUUUGGACAAUGGGGGAAACCCUGAUCCAGCCAUCCCGCGUGUGCGAUGAAGGCCUUCGGGUUGUAAAGCACUUUUGGCAGGAAAGAAACGUCGUGGGUUAAUACCCCGCGAAACUGACGUACCUGCAGA